CGCCAGUGCACCUCCGCAUCCAGCCCUUCUUGCUCCGCCAUCUCCUCGCUGUCGCUGAGCCACACCCUGCACACACCUGCGAGGGCACGCCCACGUACAGGCACGGAGAGAUUGGGGCGGGGGGAGAAGGGGCAGCAACGCUCACCUUUGCCCCUUCCUUGCGCUCUCUCUUUCCUCGACCGUCAUCGACACAGCCACCAUCACCAACCGGUCGCCCUCGCCCUCCCCCAAGCCCGGAUACACAGACAGCCAUGUAUCCCGGCCUCCCGCGUGCGUUCCCGAACACGGAGUGGCAGACCGUGGCAGACAUCUUCCGCCGGCGCGCGCCGGUAAGCUUUCUCGCGCCGAACUCGAGCGCCCCCGCCACUGCCGAUCCCGCCGCGGCCGCGGAAGCGUGGGUACAGCAGGAAAUCGGCUACUACGAAGCGAACUACACAGCAGUGGAAGACCUGAACGUGUGCGUGACCACCUUCAAUGUUGGGUGCAAAAAACCGGCGCUGCCGCUGACCAGCCUCGCCUGCCUCACCAGCGGCGGUGGCGGCGCAGACGGCGCACCAGCGCGCCCGACGGACUUGAUCGUGGUCGGCUUGCAGGAGGUGGACAUGAGUGCGACGGCGCUCUUCAAGCAGGAGACGGAGGCUUCCGCGCCAUGGGUGGCGGGCCUGAACGCGGCUAUCGGCGCCGAUGGGAGCAACAGCACCGCGGCAUCCUCAUCUAGUGGCGCAGACGCCUCUCCUUACUAUGCCUUUCCACCAAAGCAGCUUGUCGGCCUGCUUCUCUGCGUGUUCAUCCGUCGGCCGCUGCUGUCUGCCGUGUCGGAGUCCAGCACGGCGACGGUGGCCACCGGUGCGCUGGGCUCUAUGGGCAACAAGGGCGCCGUGGGCUUUCAUCUUGUGCUUCACCGCACGUCCAUCUGCAUCAUUACGGCCCAUUUAGCAGCUGGGCAGUCCAACGUGAGCAAGCGCAACGAGGACAUCAACACCAUCUUCAAGAGCAUGGACUUCAACGCUGCCCGUCGCGCCGAGAUGCAGAUCAGCGCAAGCGCAAGCAUGCCAAUGGAUGAGUCUGCCUUUCUCGAACUCUACCCUCGCGACCACGACAUCAUCAUCGUGGCCGGAGACCUGAACUACCGCCUCCGACUCCCGUACGAGACCGCCGUGCAGUUAGCGAACGCGGGGCAGUUCAGCGAACUGCUGCAGUACGACGAGUUGGCAACCGAGAUGAAGAGCCCUCACACGCCGUGGCUGAACUUUAUCAACUUCACACCAACGCACAUGCCCACCUACCGCUUCGACGUUGGCACCGACGUCUACGAUACCAGCGAGAAGCGCCGCGUUCCCAGCUAUACGGACCGCAUAUGCGUGUGGUCGCGUCGCAAGUCGAUGGAGUCCCGCAUUCGACUGGACCGCCUCUCCGCCCUCAUGGAGGUGCGCAGCAGCGACCACAAGCCUGUACAGGCGCUCGCGCGGAUCCCGAUUAGCGUGGAGGUGCCGGCGCAGAAGGCGCAGGUGCUGUCGGCGCUGCGGGAAAAGGCCGCCGUCAUCGGCUUGGCGCAGGCGUCGAGUGCGAAGAUAUCGCUGAGCACGUCGAAGGUAAACUUUCAGGCCCAAAGCUUCCACCACUGCGGGACGCAGGAGACGGUCACGGUGCAGAACAACGGCGACUGCGUUGCUGUCGUGCGGGUGGUGCGGCAGCGCGAGGGGGACUACUCAGAAGGCACCUGGCUGCGCGCCACCCCGCUUGAGCUUGCCAUCCUUCCAGGCGAGUCGCAGGAUGUUCUUAUCGAGACGGCAAUCGACCCACGCUGCAUGACGUGGCUGGCCGCCUGGCGUCCGUACCAGGGCCGCGGUCGUGUCAGCCUCACCUCUGUGCUGCUCUGCUGCUGCCGCAACGGCCCAGUUCAGGCGGUGGAGUGCCAGUGUGUCCUGAGUCCGAGCGUCUUCGGCAACGGGCUGGACAGCAUUGCCCUCCUGCAGGACAAGCCGUGCGUGGAGGCGUACGCACAGAAGGCCGACUUUGAGGAGGUGGUGCGCCAGGUGCGGCCACAUGUGCCGAAGGAGCUGUGGUACCUCGCCCACGUCAUCGCGCAGCACCCACGCGAGGGCGGUCUCUUCACCCGCACCACGGACAAGGAAGUGUGCUCUCGCAUCAUGGAACUACUAGACACGAAGAACGCGCCUCUGCCAGUGGAUACAGACGUGCAUUGCGCUGCGGAGUGUCUACUGACGUUUCUCAAGAGCCUGCUCGAGCCGGUAGUGCCCUAUGCGCAGUACACCGCCGCCCUCGCCGCGGGACGCGCCAAGGGCAAGGCCCCGCUGCAGUUCCUGCGUCAGCUGCCGACGAUGCACGCGAACGUGUGGAUCUAUGUCAUGUCUUUGCUGAACUAUCUCCUCAGGCCGGUGCACAGCUGCGACAACGAACUUGACGCGAACUUCUUGGCGCACAUCUUCAGCGCCGUGCUGAUUGUCCGUCCAGCCAAUGCGCAGGGGGCCAUUCCGACUCGGCUCCAGCAGGGCGGCGGCGUUGACCAGCAGGUGCGGCAGCAACUGCAGCAGGAGAGCGACGACGCCCUAGCACUCGUAGCGUACUUUCUCAGCACCCCACCAAGUAUGUUGGCCGGAGUGGAAUAGCACAGCGGACGUGCGCACAGGGAGAAGGGCACCCGACCCCCCCCCUCCCCUCCGGAUGACGGGGAUGGCCGUCAUGCCCGACCCUGGUGGUGGAUACUCCUUGCAUUUUUUGUACGCCUAUGUAUUCAUGUUACCGCUCCCGUCGGGCUCCUGUUGUUGUUUGCUGCUCGUUGGCAGUCUGCAUGUCGGCUGCCCAGCUUCGUCCUUUCCUAUUGUUGUUUGUGUUCGUGUGUGUGUGUGUCUCUUCCCACCGACCGGACCGUCGUCGUCGGCGGUGGACUCUGCGAAGAGGACUGUUGACGGAAAGCGCAGUGCCACUCACCUCUCCGUCUCUUACUCUCUCGUCAACGGUGAUGAUGAUGGCCGUGAUGAAGGCGUUGCUGCUGCUGCUGCUGCCGUUGUUGUUGCUGUCACGUACACCGAUGGCAAAC
This 3061-nucleotide unclassified non-coding RNA is filed under the name Leishmania donovani. RNAcentral's name for it is "gene:LdHU3.15.1510(CDS-product:inositol/phosphati dylinositol_phosphatase_putative)". The record is from RNAcentral. Lineage: Eukaryota; Euglenozoa; Kinetoplastea; Trypanosomatida; Trypanosomatidae.